UACGUAGGCAGCAAGCGUUGUUCGGAGUUACUGGGCGUAAAGGGUGUGUAGGCGGUUGUUUAAGUUUGGUGUGAAAUCUCCCGGCUCAACUGGGAGGGUGCGCCGAAUACUGAAUGACUUCGAGUGCGGGAGAGGAAAGUGGAAUUCCUGGUGUAGCGGUGAAAUGCGUAGAUAUCAGGAGGAACACCGGUGGUGUAGACGGCUUUCUGGACCGUAACUGACGCUGAGACACGGAAGCGUGGGUAGCAAACAGG
Molecule: ribosomal RNA, 254 nt
Filed under: uncultured bacterium
Lineage: Bacteria
Description: partial 16S ribosomal RNA
Rfam family: Bacterial small subunit ribosomal RNA
Source: RNAcentral